This 155-nucleotide ribosomal RNA is filed under the name leaf litter ascomycete strain its084. RNAcentral's name for it is "5.8S ribosomal RNA". It matches the Rfam family "5.8S ribosomal RNA". Rfam says of the family: 5.8S ribosomal RNA (5.8S rRNA) is a component of the large subunit of the eukaryotic ribosome. It is transcribed by RNA polymerase I as part of the 45S precursor that also contains 18S and 28S rRNA. The record is from RNAcentral. Lineage: Eukaryota; Fungi; Ascomycota.
AACUUUCAACAACGGAUCUCUUGGCUCUGGCAUCGAUGAAGAACGCAGCGAAAUGCGAUACGUAAUGUGAAUUGCAGAAUUCAGUGAAUCAUCGAAUCUUUGAACGCACAUUGCGCCCGCUAGUAUUCUGGCGGGCAUGCCUGUUCGAGCGUCAU